UGCUAAUUGAAUCUUUAUCACAUUUUGUUCAAAUAUGAAUAGAAUUCGGUUCAUUGGGGAUUUCAGUUAGGUUCACUUGAUUCAAACAUGCAUGCUUGUGCUUGUCGCCUUGUCGGUGUAUUGACAAAAUUUUUUUGUCCUUACAGCAAAAUUGAAAAAGAUGAUGGUCACAAAAAAGGAGAAGCCGCACUAUAACAAAACUCACGAUCUGAGAUGCCAAACAAAAGCAAUAGAAAAGGGUGUUCAAAGAAAUGAGUCAGAAAAA
Molecule: non-coding RNA, 265 nt
Organism: Arachis ipaensis
Lineage: Eukaryota; Viridiplantae; Streptophyta; Magnoliopsida; Fabales; Fabaceae
Source: RefSeq, a predicted model, not a curated record